RNAcentral lists this ribosomal RNA (730 nucleotides) under uncultured bacterium. Its description in RNAcentral is "bacterial SSU rRNA". It matches the Rfam family "Bacterial small subunit ribosomal RNA", at positions 771 to 1501 of the family's 1533-position model. The record is from RNAcentral.
AACAGGAUUAGAUACCCUGGUAGUCCACGCCGUAAACGAUGUCGACUUGGAGGUUGUUCCCUUGAGGAGUGGCUUCCGGAGCUAACGCGUUAAGUCGACCGCCUGGGGAGUACGGCCGCAAGGUUAAAACUCAAAUGAAUUGACGGGGGCCCGCACAAGCGGUGGAGCAUGUGGUUUAAUUCGAUGCAACGCGAAGAACCUUACCUACUCUUGACAUCCACGGAAUUUGGCUGAGAUGCCUUAGUGCCUUCGGGAACCGUGAGACAGGUGCUGCAUGGCUGUCGUCAGCUCGUGUUGUGAAAUGUUGGGUUAAGUCCCGCAACGAGCGCAACCCUUAUCCUUUGUUGCCAGCGAUUCGGUCGGGAACUCAAAGGAGACUGCCGGUGAUAAACCGGAGGAAGGUGGGGAUGACGUCAAGUCAUCAUGGCCCUUACGAGUAGGGCUACACACGUGCUACAAUGGCGCAUACAAAGAGAAGCGACCUCGCGAGAGCAAGCGGACCUCACAAAGUGCGUCGUAGUCCGGAUCGGAGUCUGCAACUCGACUCCGUGAAGUCGGAAUCGCUAGUAAUCGUGGAUCAGAAUGCCACGGUGAAUACGUUCCCGGGCCUUGUACACACCGCCCGUCACACCAUGGGAGUGGGUUGCAAAAGAAGUAGGUAGCUUAACCUUCGGGAGGGCGCUUACCACUCUGUGAUUCAUGACUGGGGUGAAGUCGUAACAAGGUAACC